Molecule: ribosomal RNA, 750 nt
Filed under: uncultured bacterium
Lineage: Bacteria
Description: bacterial SSU rRNA
Rfam family: Bacterial small subunit ribosomal RNA
Source: RNAcentral
CAGGCCUAACACAUGCAAGUCGAGCGGACUUAUCCUUCGGGAUAGGUUAGCGGCGGACGGGUGAGUAACACGUAGGCAACCUGCCUGUAAGAUCGGGAUAACUACCGGAAACGGUAGCUAAGACCGGAUAGCUGGUUUCUCCGCAUGGGGAAUCAUGAAACAUGGGGCAACCUGUGGCUUACGGAUGGGCCUGCGGCGCAUUAGCUAGUUGGUGGGGUAAUGGCCCACCAAGGCGACGAUGCGUAGCCGACCUGAGAGGGUGAUCGGCCACACUGGGACUGAGACACGGCCCAGACUCCUACGGGAGGCAGCAGUAGGGAAUCUUCCGCAAUGGGCGCAAGCCUGACGGAGCAACGCCGCGUGAGUGAUGAAGGUUUUCGGAUCGUAAAGCUCUGUUGCCAAGGAAGAACGCCUCGGAGAGUAACUGCUCUGAGGGUGACGGUACUUGAGAAGAAAGCCCCGGCUAACUACGUGCCAGCAGCCGCGGUAAUACGUAGGGGGCAAGCGUUGUCCGGAAUUAUUGGGCGUAAAGCGCGCGCAGGCGGUCUUUUAAGUUUGGUGUUUAAGCCCGGGGCUCAACCCCGGUUCGCACUGAAAACUGGGAGACUUGAGUGCAGGAGAGGAAAGCGGAAUUCCACGUGUAGCGGUGAAAUGCGUAGAGAUGUGGAGGAACACCAGUGGCGAAGGCGGCUUUCUGGACUGUAACUGACGCUGAGGCGCGAAAGCGUGGGGAGCAAACAGGAUUAGAUA